This 57-nucleotide transfer RNA is filed under the name Cassidinae sp. N35. RNAcentral's name for it is "tRNA-Tyr". Lineage: Eukaryota; Metazoa; Arthropoda; Insecta; Coleoptera; Chrysomelidae. The record is from RNAcentral.
GGUAGAAUGACUGAUUAAGGUGAUAAAUUGUAAAUUUAUUUAUGAGUAUUUCUCUUC